GCAUCUGUAGAAAUAAAUUUUAUGUGGAAAAGACAUAAAGAGAAAGAACAAUUGGAAUUCAUGCAUGUGUUCAUUUAGUGAUUCAACAAAUACUUAUUAGGCAUCUAUUAUAUGUCAGGCACUCUGUUAAAAUCUGAGAAAUUUUCAGCAAAGUGCUUAUGCAGGGAUGAUUCAUAUGCUGCAGGUAACACUGUUCUUGGUGCCCAUGUCUUCACUUUCUUUCAAACUGAUCCCUUUCAUUAGUCUGGAAGCUUCUGGACCUUCCUAAGGCUUGGAAAUCUGCUAUUUCCCUAAAGACAAAAAUUCAAGGGCAUCACUGAACAGAACUGGAAGUGAGAACAACAUUUACUCCCUGGGCAUCAGAAGCACUUUCUUACACCCACCAGUGCAGCUAAGACUAUCACUAGUGAAUUCUCUGGUUUAUGGCUUUGGGGGAGAAUUUAUAAAGCUUUACCAUCUCCCUUCUGUAUCCCCACCAUUCAGUGCUAUUCUUAUAAUAAGACAGAAGAAGUCACAAUUUGGCUGGAGAUUUGGCCAUUAGCUUCACAUCUGGUCUCCUAAAAGGGACCAAUAAAGACAGAAUUGAGUGGUGGCUCCUCAGAGCUUGCUCUGCAAAGCAAAGGGGAGUCAGUAAAGGAAACAGAUUUCUAUCUCCCUUGCUCCAUUCCCUGCUCAAUUUUAAUAGAAUUCUGGGCUAGACGGUGGUUCUGUUCAUGGAAUUAAAGUGUGCAUUUGGGCUGAACAUCCCUAGGGUCACAAGUAAUCAAGUCCUGUCCCUGUCUUAACAUUGCCCAUCUCUUUUAUUUUCCAGGCUCCAUAUUGUGCUGUUUUACUGUUUCCACACGGGCGGUGGGAGAAGGAGAUAGAUAGAUAGAUAGAUAAAGAAAAACCUUCAGAAAUGCAGGACAAACCCAAGGUACUGAAUUUGACUUUGCUCUGUGUUAUGCUUUGGAUCUUCAGUGUUCUCCGAAAGUUCAUGUGUUGAAGGCUUAGACUCCAAUGUAGGAUGUGCAGAGGUGGGGCCUUUGAAGGUGAUUGGAUCAUGAGGGCUCUGGCAUCGUGAAUGGAUUAUGUGUUCAUAGCUUAAUGGGUUUGGGGUCAGAGGUCUUAUUAUAAAAGCCAGCACUCUCUUUACUUCUUGGCUGCUGCAAGGUGAACAGAUUUACACUGCCAUGUGCUUCCCACCAUGUUCUGCUUCACUGCAGGCCCAGAAACAACAGAGCCAAGUGACCAUGGACUGAAAGUUCUGAAACUAUGAGACAAAAUAAAAAAAUUUCUCUAUCAAGUUAAUUUUCUCAGGCAUUUUUUUCACAGUGAUGGAAAGUUAACUAACAUAUUCUGCCAUGAAAAUUCACCAGAUUUUUAGAGUAGGAAUAAUACUCCUGUCUACCAUCUCCCUCAAGUUAGAGGACAUUCAUCAAGUUCUUUGAAUGUUUUGACUAAAGCCAUGCCCUAAGGGAAAUUUGAAGACAUCUGUACUCUUAUGCCUUCACAUGAUGGCAAGGGUAGAUUCAGGACAGAAGUGUUCUCUUCAAGGAGGUGUUGCUCAGAAAUUUCCUCACUUCCAAUAAUUUUUUUAUACCUACAAUGUGCCAUCAUCUAAUCCACCCUGAAAUUCCUAUGGAAUUCUCUAUCUUACAAGACCACUUUAUCAUCUCGUUUCUAUCUUGGUUCCUCAGUUGAAAUUUCUAAUUGGCCACCCAGCUACAUGGUUAUUAAUUUCAUUUAACUUUCAGACAAACCCUGUCCUAUGAAUGGUUUUAUCUUCAAUAUGAGAGGUGAAAAAACUGAGGUUAAAUAACUUGCUCGGAUCACUUACCCCAGUAUAAUUCACAGAGUACCCAAAAGUACCUACCUCCAAUGGACAGUACUUAUUUGAACUCUGGUUAAAUACAACGAUUUGGUGAGUGAUGAUUCGUAGUAAGCAGUAAGGCUAAAAUUCAAACUCAGGUAGUCCCUCUCCAAAUCCUGUGCUUUCUUAUGUACAAUACUAUGUCAUCCUCCAAUACCCAACUGAAAGACAGAAUUGGAAAACAAAAGUAUCAGAGUCUUUACUGAUACCACUGCUAUUUUUUAAACAAUUGGCAUUGGCUCAAGUCAAGGACCAUUUUAAGAAGGAAUGUGUGAGACCCAGAGGACAGUUGACUUUCCUUUUUCUGCCAACUAUUAAAUCACAGAAGUUAAUUAUGGCCCACUAAAAGUUUAUGUCACUAAACUUAGGCCUCAUUAUACCAGCAGCUAUGCUUACUCCAUUUUUUAAAAAUCUUCAACUCUUGAUUUUUUCCUUUCAUAUUUUUAUUAGCUUUUUGAAGUAAAUUCUUUUCUGGUCUUUGACCAUAGCAUUUUCAUUUGGAUUCUAUAUUGUUAAAACUUUAUAAAUAGGUUAUAAAUAACCCAAUACUGGCCUUUAAAAAUCAACAGGUCAGCUUAUAUCUAUCAGCUUCAGAAACUAGGGUUGACUAAUAACAAUCCAAGUCCUGGAUGAUUAUAAAUUGUUAAAUCUUCUAAUAUUGAAGAUCAGUGGAAGCUGAGGAAUUGUUCUAAAAUAUAUGUCACAUUCUAACAGAAUGUGCAUCUGGAUUUGAAUGAGCAAGUCAAGCAAAAUGAAUUGGAAUCAGGGUAUAUGAUCAAUAUUUUGUAAUAUACUUUAUUUAAAUAUUUCAUCAACAUUGAUUUUUCUUUGGAAUUUUAAUCACAUUUAUAAUUUAGAAU
Non-coding RNA from Ictidomys tridecemlineatus (thirteen-lined ground squirrel), 2712 nucleotides. Lineage: Eukaryota; Metazoa; Chordata; Mammalia; Rodentia; Sciuridae. The record is from RefSeq and is a predicted model, not a curated record.